This 1874-nucleotide long non-coding RNA is filed under the name Citrus x clementina. RNAcentral describes it as "Citrus clementina (C. clementina) long non-coding RNA (CCLE_LNC005560)". The record is from RNAcentral. Lineage: Eukaryota; Viridiplantae; Streptophyta; Magnoliopsida; Sapindales; Rutaceae.
UGGGUAUUUUGAAAGCAUAUGGUUUCAACUUAUAUGAUAGAUUGUGCAUUUGAUUUAUGCCAUGUAAUAUUCAUGAUGUACUUUUUUAAUUGAGUUUUAAUAGGCAUGAAAAAUGUUGGAAAGUAUAAACAAAUUUUUUUGGUCUUAAUGACAGUUAUACAAAGUUGAAAAAUUGAAGUUUAAAACACUUAAUGAUAAUUGUUUUUAAUUGCAUAAUGUAAGAUAUGCCUCAAUAGUCUUAAAUUAGAUAAUUGAUAAUAUGUUAUUCCGACAAAUUGAAAUGUUUUCAUAUAGAAUGAUAAGUCUCUUUAAGUUAGUUAGAUGGUGUUGAAUCUGUAUAGUUCUGUUAUGUACUAAAUUUGUUGGCAUCUAAUAGAUGAUAUGCUGCAUUUUUGUGUUAUUAUCAAUCACCUACGCUUUGCAUUUUCUAUUUACUAAAUUUUAGCUUUUUCUUUAACAUUGAUUUCCAUUAACUUGACUCCUCCAUUUCAUACUACCUUUAUUAUAUCAAUUCUUCUUGUUGGUUACUGCACUUGAGCCCUCUGAAUCCAUGUUGUUGAGAUUGAAAGAUUGAGACUUUGAGAGAAAUGUAGUUGAGUUUGCAAAGUGUUGAGAGGAAGUAGUGAUGUUUGUAAACAAGGCUCUGAAUUUAAGCCUUUAAAUAGGUAAAUAUGUGGCAAUGUGACUGUUGGGAUCCAACGAUCAAAUUGCAAUCAUGAGUACUUCUUUUAACUUGACCUAAACUUUUGACCUUUUUAAAUGAGUAUUUUGGUUAAUGUAACUUAUGAUUAGGAUUAGAAUUAUCCUUUUAUUUGUUGAAUGCAAUUGUAAAUAAUCUAAAUUUAAGGGGUAUAAUGGUAAUAUUAUGGUUGUUAUAAUUUUCACGCCCAAUGUAUGAGAUGUGAAAGUUCUUGAAAAUCCAACUAGGGCAUUUCAAUUUUUUUAAAUUUAACUAACAGUCAAGCACAAAAUUAAUUGAUGAUAAGGGGGUCUUUACUAGUAAAUAGAUCUUGGCCAUUUAAGUGCAAAAAACCCAAAACUCAAGGGAGGAAAGUAAAAAUUAUCCUAUUAUUGUGUUUUAAAUUUUGAACACGAAAGAUAUUAUUGGUUGAUUUUUCUUAUCAAUUGAUAGUUUGGUGUAUUUUAUUAAAAUUGGAUGAUUACGGAGUUAAAUCUUUUAUAUAUUUUUAUUGGUAAUUUAAUUUCUGAAAAAUAAUUUUAGUAAUAUAAAACUAAACAUACCAAUAGUUUAAAACAACUUUUUUAAUUGACAACCGAACACUAUAUUCCAUUGGCCAACCAGAUAUCUUUAUGCUAGUAUGUAGGAUGACUAGGAUGAAUAUAUAUAUGCGAAUAUAAUUCGGUGCAGAGAAAAUAAUGAUUUCUAAAAUUUUGACACUAUAUUCCAUUGGUCAACAAAACCCUGUACACGUUGACCGUGCCCUAAUAAUGGUCACAGUUUAUUCGCAGUUGCUCAAUUCCAUAAAAAAGUGACAUGACCAGGUUGGGCAUAAAAUUAUAAUCGCGAGAAAUCCAAAUUUGACAGGAUGAAUUCCACAAUGAAUUUUUCCCUUUACCUUAUCAUCCCAUAUACAUAUAGAUAGUCAAAUCCACGUGUCUCUGUAUUUACCUACGUUGGAAUGUUUGAUCAAAAUUGAAUCCCUAUCUAUUACUAUCAGCCUAUUUCUUCUCUUCAUUUUUACUAAUCAAUAUACUCUUUUAAAAUACAAAUUAACUACUUUCAAUCAUUGAAAUUUUAGAUAACCCCCUCAAUAAUUCAUCUAAAUUAAAAUUUACCAUUUGGGAGUGUAACAUACUAUUUUAAAACUUGCGACGAGACGAAUUAAAUCUCAAAACUGUUAUUGUUGUUAUGU